RNAcentral lists this ribosomal RNA (505 nucleotides) under uncultured bacterium. RNAcentral's name for it is "partial 16S ribosomal RNA". It matches the Rfam family "Bacterial small subunit ribosomal RNA", at positions 30 to 523 of the family's 1533-position model. The record is from RNAcentral.
UUGAACGCUGGCGGCAGGCUUAACACAUGCAAGUCGAACGGCAGCACAGGAGAGCUUGCUCUCUGGGUGGCGAGUGGCGGACGGGUGAGGAAUACAUCGGAAUCUACUUUUUCGUGGGGGAUAACGUAGGGAAACUUACGCUAAUACCGCAUACGACCUACGGGUGAAAGCAGGGGACCUUCGGGCCUUGCGCGAUUGAAUGAGCCGAUGUCGGAUUAGCUAGUUGGCGGGGUAAAGGCCCACCAAGGCGACGAUCCGUAGCUGGUCUGAGAGGAUGAUCAGCCACACUGGAACUGAGACACGGUCCAGACUCCUACGGGAGGCAGCAGUGGGGAAUAUUGGACAAUGGGCGCAAGCCUGAUCCAGCCAUACCGCGUGGGUGAAGAAGGCCUUCGGGUUGUAAAGCCCUUUUGUUGGGAAAGAAAUCCAGCCGGCUAAUACCUGGUUGGGAUGACGGUACCCAAAGAAUAAGCACCGGCUAACUUCGUGCCAGCAGCCGCAGUAA